Non-coding RNA from Coturnix japonica (Japanese quail), 2172 nucleotides. NCBI's taxonomy places the organism in Eukaryota, Metazoa, Chordata, Aves, Galliformes, Phasianidae. The record is from RefSeq and is a predicted model, not a curated record.
CACCUGCAUUUCUCACCCCAUCAUCCACCUGUGCUGCUGGGGAGGAGCUGUGAGUAGCAGCUGUGGGGUGAGGAAUUGAAGCACAGCAGGAUUUGCAGCUCUUAAGGAUAAGGGGCAGGCACCCUGUUUGCUGUUGAGAUAUGGCAAAGCAGAAGCCCUCAAAGCUGUCAUGGGGAGCACAGAGUGCUGAGGCAUUCAAGGACUGAGGGAUUAUGGCAGUCCUGCUAUCUCACCCACUGCCACCGUAUACAAGCAGCAAUUUGUGUCAGGAAUCCACAUCACAGCAUCGUGCCACUGUGUGAGAAACAGCAACAGAAAAUAGCUGAGGGAGAAAAAGAAGUGAAACUGGCUGGUCUGAAUUCAUGAGAAAUCCAUUCCAGGGAUGGAGAUUAUAUGAGAUGGUUCCUUAUCUUGGUUACACUUGCAACACAGCACUGAAAAAGAGCCAACCCAUUGCACCCCCCACGCUUGCCAUGUUAUGCCCUGGUGGCUUUUGUGGUGUGCUCUGGGGCUCCCCAUGCUGCCAAGAGGAGAGUGAUGAAGAAUGCUGCAUAUCCAAGGCAUUGUUUUGGGAACUAACACCAGGACAGGUUGAUGCAAGGCACUGCUUAUGGGUUUUUGAUAGUCUUUAUUUGCUGGGAUCAAGAAGGCAAAGGUGGCCCAGAGGAAUAAAGCGCUUGUGAAACCUGAGCUGUUAAGACCUGCUGGAGCAUUCCCCCUUGUACUGGCCAGUGACCUAUGUGGAGCAACACGUUGCUGCUGAAUGGUGGCAGCUGCACCCAUUGCAGCUCCCAGGCCUGGCACCCGUUCUUCCAGAUAAGACAUUGACAAGUGAAGAAGGUGACAGGGCUCAGCCCCUGCUUCCUCCUGUUCAGGCUGGUGCAUCACAAUGCCACGCUGGCUACAGUGCCCUGAGAAGGCAGGCAUCCUGCUCUUGCUGUACACACCAGAGGUAGUUCCCAAUGGGAAUCAGUCCCUACUCCUCACUGCAAGCCACAGCCCUGUGCACCCUUUGGGGUGACAUUUGGUAAAAACAGAAGUAUGCAGUGUAGUUGCAGACUUGGUCUGCCAGGGGGAUUUCCUGCACUUGCAGAUCCCAUCCUAGCACAGGAGGUUUGACUGGAGAAAGCUGUGGGAUCCCAUUCUGAUAUAGAACCACGCUGUCUGUAAAGCUGCUCACCUACCUCUGCCAAAAUGAGAAUCCUGAGCCUAAGCACUGCAAGAAGCCCCAAGAAUACAGAAUAAAUCCAAGCUUAGAAUUCAUUGGAAUUAAGGAGAGCUUCAUAUAGGAUUUAUGUCUGGUAUGAUUAUUUAAUUUAUAAUUUCCAGAGGUUUCAUUUUGCAAGCAAUCACUGAGGCUACAUUAGCCUGAUAGUGAUGUACGGCUGUCCUGAGGUGCCCUGGGAGAGACAGCGUGGGACCACAGCACUUGGAGGUGUGAUCUUCCCCUGUUUAUCUUGAUGGGAUGCACACAAUAUUGCCAGGGAAGUGGGUCCAAACAACUUAACUGUGUCGCUGCCAGAUGCUGCAGUUGGAAGGGCUGGUGGUACAGCAGUAUGACCUGUAUGUGCCACGUCCUGUCUCCACUCAGAGCCUCCCAGCACCAAGAGGUGCAAGUAGCCUAGCAAAGAUUCAUGGUUAUGCCUGCUAAAGACUCCAGGAACAGCCAACCCUGCAGGAGAGCAGAGACCACAGCCUUUACUGAGACAUGAACUAGAAACUGGGCAGCUUCUUUUGCGUCCAGAGUUCAUCUGGCUGGCUGUCAGCAGAGUCCUGCAGAGCACAGUACUGAGCCUCUUGUGCCAGUUUGGAUGCUCCCUUUUGCACCCAGAAGCGUGCCUGCAAAAGCCCCUGAAGAUGGCAGCUGCUACAAGGCAGAGUGAUCCUUUCCUCUGAUCACAGCCCGCUGCAGCACGGUGGGUGUUGCAGCAGCUCUUUUUCAUGCAAGGCCACCUGAGCAAGGUUUCUUGGAACCCUGGAGAUAUUUAAGCUUUAAUGCAACACUGUUGUUUCUUAUGGCUAUUAGGAAUUUCUAAUGCCUAAAGUGAGAUGUGUGAGGCUGUGCUCAGGCUGUCACACAUCACAAGAUACAGCCCCUACACCUCUGUGUGGCAGCGAGGAUAGGCUCAAACCUUUGGCUGUUCUGAGAGCAAAGCCUGCCAUCAUCUUGUU